Molecule: non-coding RNA, 1004 nt
Organism: Marmota flaviventris (yellow-bellied marmot)
Lineage: Eukaryota; Metazoa; Chordata; Mammalia; Rodentia; Sciuridae
Source: RefSeq, a predicted model, not a curated record
AACUGGUCCGGGAGCAGUCAUGAGGAGACAGGUCGGGGUGAAGCGGGUGGGACCGGCGUCGGCAGGGCGGGAGAUGAGCGCCUUCCUGCCGGCCGCUGCCCCAACACAACCCAAGCUCCCCAGCGGAGGCGGCGGCAGAGGCCUUCCAAUAUGGCGGCGCUGGCUGACGUCACCAGAGGAUGUGGCAGAGCCGGCGAGGGGCGUGUCCGGGGGCGCCGGAAGCGGCUGGAUCGGGCGGGACUCUUGGUCUUCACGGCCCACCGCUCCGGGCCUGCGAGGUUCUACCAGCCUCUCAGUCCCUACGUACCCUGGCGUCCGCUCCCACACUCGAGACGUCCCGCGUCUGUCCGCCUCCCCGCUUCGCCCCUCACUACUUGGGCUGGAGCCAGAGGCCCCCAAGACCCCCUACUGGUGCGGUCCGAUCCCGGGCGCCCUAGGUGGACCCUGCUCGGCUCGUAGCUGUCCCCUUAGCACUCCAGACACUGUGGCCUUAAGAGGAAGCUCCUGUCUUUGCGUCCGGGAUCCCGCUUGGACGCCCGGAUCCCCGCGAGCUGCAGGAAGGACUUUGUUCGCUGCUGGUGAGGUGCCAGAGGUGCGCUCUCUGCCGGGACUUCCUGGCCCUUAAGAAGGAGCACCUGCAUCCAAGUGGCUCAAAGUGGACUGGUAGUGUUUUCCAGGCGUAGAGAGGUUAAACAAAUUGACCACUGACUACUGCUGGUAAACCUUUUUUCCUUCCUUGCCUUCGACUUGUCCAGUAAAGUGACCAGGGCUCGAUCCAGAACUCCUAUGUACCAGAUCAUGCCCAGGAAAGUGAGAAUGCUCAAUGACGCCACUGUGGAAGGGUGUGCACCAAGCCUACCUGACCUUUUUCCUGUCUGAGCAAAGUCAGUUUCCCCUCAGCCAGUUUCUCCCAUCCAGGUCCUUUCCAACUUUUUGUUCUUUCAUCUCUCUUCCAGUUCUUUACCAAAUAAAUUAAAGCAUGUUUCUUUGUGAAAGAAAUGUAA